Long non-coding RNA from Gambusia affinis (western mosquitofish), 835 nucleotides. RefSeq lists it as uncharacterized. NCBI's taxonomy places the organism in Eukaryota, Metazoa, Chordata, Actinopteri, Cyprinodontiformes, Poeciliidae. The record is from RefSeq and is a predicted model, not a curated record. The transcript is spliced from 3 exons.
GUCCUCCUAACGGCUGGAGAUGGUAACGGUCAACUGUAAUUUGAUUUCUUCUAAGAUGAUGACUCCUAACUGCUCCUCCAUGUGCAGGAGGUGAAGACGUCAGGCCUGCAGGUGCAGCUUUAUUCGCCUCUUCUCCUUAAUUUACUGCGGAGGUUAGGAGCGGGCCACCCCGGGCUGCCGGUUCCACACCAGGAAUGCUUUGAAGUAGCAGAGCCGGACGGCCGGAGAAGAAGAUCCGAGCGGAGCCGGGGCGUCCAGGACCAGUAUGGUUGCGGAUGAAUCGCCAGUCGUCAGCAUCAAGGACCCUCCAUGGAAUCUUCAAAGAUUCAAGCUCCAAAAGGGAUUAUGUAAGUGUUAAUAUCUCUGAAACGCCACAUUUCUGUAUUUGAGGCUUGUUGAAGACUGUCCAGUGCAGUAGAGGAACUCGGUGAUGUUCCCAGCUAAACUUCAUCAACGGCCCAACAACCCAAAGACAAUCUGUUAGUGAGUGGCUGUUUGGGGGAGAGCAGAGAGACUCAGUGUCUUAUCAACAGAAACAGAAACAAUGUAAGAAGUGAUGGAUCUGAAUAUACCUGGUUGGUCUGUUAUGUACUGUAAUAUCCAACAAUCUACCUGUUAAAAGAACAUUUACUCUGUCAUGUUAGAUGAACUGAUUGCUUUACUUUCUCCUCUGUGUACUUUGAACAAUUUCAUGCAUAUUGUAAUGAAGAAAAUGUAUUGACCAUCCUGCAUUUUGUAUUGCACAGCUGAUAUAUCAUACCUUUUGAUAAGCAAUAUGUGAAAGAAAGCGACAUGUGAAACAUGCACAUUACUCCAUGUUGUAAUAUGUUUUGUA